Non-coding RNA from Pseudonaja textilis, 112 nucleotides. The record is from RefSeq and is a predicted model, not a curated record. Lineage: Eukaryota; Metazoa; Chordata; Lepidosauria; Squamata; Elapidae.
UAAUUAACACGCUCUGAUGCUAAGGAGUUCUACUCCCCCUCCCCACCUGAAAAGGACUCUGUUCCAAUUGCCUGUUGCCUCACAUUCCAUUACCUCAGUAAGUCUGCAGCCA